Molecule: small RNA, 386 nt
Filed under: Pongo abelii (Sumatran orangutan)
Lineage: Eukaryota; Metazoa; Chordata; Mammalia; Primates; Hominidae
Description: processed transcript
Source: RNAcentral
CAGAGAACUGAACAAGAUAAUACAUGAAGGUGCAUAUCAAAGAGUCUCGCAUGCUCUGCUGGAUCACACAAAAGUUGGGAAGAGAAGGGUGUCAACUAGACUACAUCAAAAUCUGGGCAGAGGGAGGACAAAGAGCUGCCUAAAGAAACUGGUAACUGGAGCAAACUUCAAAGAUCAAGAUGACCCUAGUCAACGGAACCAGCAGCCCAGCAACACCAGCUCUGGCAGCACCAGUGAAUAAGAAUCACAACCUGGAUGGGCUCCAAGUCCAACUUCACCACACUCAGAUGGGAUUCAGAAAAGUUUCACCAGAGCCCGACUCACAUUCUAUCAUGUGGAAAGCACUCUGCUGAGGAGCCCUGUUCCUCUAAGAUACACAUGUGACA